CAAUUUUAAAAAAAUUAACAACUCCACUCCUGACUCGGACUCCAUUUAUUUAGUGCAUAGCCGCUAUACUUCAUAUUAUACAAUUGAAGUGGAUCCAAACCAAAACAAAAAAUGUAAACAAAGCCCGCACAUGCGCAGAAUGGACUGUAAUCUAGCUUUAAGGAAAUUUUAAAGAAUUUUCAAGGGAUUUUCUCUAAUUGGACGUUUUUUUAAAGUGGAAGCACUGCAAUUUUCAAAAAUAUAAUAUACAUCGCAAACUCGCAAAGAAAUAGAAUUUUGGGUGGAAUUAUACUCGUUUUUUAUAAGUACAAUCUAACAACAAUAUCUUCAGAAUAUAUGAUUCUUCAUCACAUUUACAAAUUUAUUAUUGUAUUUUUUUAUCAAUUUGAGAGACUUUUGAUUCGUGAUUUUGAUCAAUUUCUAUGAAAUUGGGUUCGUGAAAAAUGAAAAUUGAUUCGUGAUUCACGAAUCACGAACCGUUAUUUCGAACCCUGCUAACAAUAGUCCAUAGUUUAUUUAAUAUGUGUUUUAUCACUUUAUAUAUUAAGCAUAAAUAUCUGUGGCAUGGAUGGCCUAUAUUUUGCCGGAUGCCAGUAACCCAAUCCAGCAUAUCCCUACUCUCUGCCCACGGCCAUGUCUCUGCUUAACAUACUAUACAUAUUACAACUUUGCACUUCACUUGGUUCGAUUAGAAUUACUGGGUUUGGUGGAUAAUCCAAUAUAUAGAUACUAUUGAAUUAAGACCUAUAACCAGGAACGAUUGUGAAAAAUGUAACACUAAAUCUUCGACCAGGAAUUGAACCUACGGCCCUGUGCUUCCGGAACAGUGCUCUGCCCAACUGAGGUCCGGAAUCGCAGGACAAUAGGUUUGAUUACUGCCAGAUAUUACACCCUGCUACUACAUAUUACACCCUGCAUUACUUUGUACCAAUAUGAACAGUCUUUGUAAUUCAUGGUGAUUAUGACAAUAAACUAUGGACAUUAUCUUAUAUAUAAAGGAUAAGUCUUAUUAUUAUUUAUUUAAAAAAUUUCUGGUUUCUGAUUGGCUAACAGCCAACUGUGAAAUUGUCAUAUCAACUCAGUGGUUAACCAAAUAUGGAUUUUUCACAUUCAUAUUAGCAAAAUGACGUCAAAGAGUCAACAUGAAAAAAAUUUGGAUAUGUUUGCGCCAUAUUACUAUGACGAUAAGAUUUACAGGGUCUGAAAAUUUGCAGUAUCCCGAUAUCCACGGGAUACUAAAAUUUGGCUUUGGAUACCAAACUGUGAAUGACUUAUAUCCCAAUUGGAUACUAAGAAAAUUUCAAACAUUGAUACUGUAGCUUUUGAAUACUGUCUAUGAAUUUGCCACCCAAGUCUUUCCUCAUAUAAUGUGCAUUUUUGUGUAUUAAUGAAUUGUCUAGUUCUUGACAACUUGACUGUUGAAUCUCCUGUUGUUAUUGUAAUUUGUAACAGCGAGAGUUAUUGGAUGGGACAGGGUAUAAUACUUAUGGUAACCAGUAUCCAGAAGUGGGAUACUGCAUUCUCAGGGCGGAUACUAAACUUUGAAUCCUGGUAUCCCAGUUGGAUACUGAAAAGAUAGUUAAAUUUCAGACCCCGCAAGAAUCAUAUCGACUCGCUGACACCAUUGAUAUGAUGACGACGACGACAGCUGCCGAAGGACUAACUAGGAAUUGUUUUUUUCUUUAUACAGAUAAAAUACAAAUGGCUUCCGUUUGUUUUGAAUUUUUUAAAUAAAUAAUAAAAGUAUUAUUGAAUUUGGUUUUCGCACACAAUAUGAAGAAUUAUCAAUCCCUCAGUUUGGCGUUAUCAACCUCAGCCUUUGGCUUCGGUUGAUAACGGCAAACUUUGGGCUUCAUAAUUCUUCAUAUUGUGCUCAACCUCAUUCAAUAAUUGUUAAAUAUUAAUUAAAAACUGUUUUUACAUCAAGAGUUAAUAGUCCCUUAUAACUGACUGAGCAGUGUCUCAGUUUAGGAUGCAAGUCCAUUGUUCUAGUUUUUUAUAGGGUAUAAUUUACUAAUUAUGAUUAUAUUUUCAAUAAAUAAAGUUUUCCUUUUACAGAUUCCAAUACGAUGGAUCUCUGGUGGCAUUUGCAUGACAGCCUGUGCUUGGAUCAGUAUUAAAUGUACAUGAAGAAAUCAAUGGACUUGAACAAAUUGUUUGUUAGAUCAUAAUAUUGAUUGUGAAGUGGAAAGUGUUAUAAUACGGCUUUGUGAGAAACUCUAUUCGCCACAACACAUUGCUGUGCAAUCAGAACUAAACAUAGUUGUGUAUAAGAAUGACAGAAAAUAAAACUUAUGUUGUGCAUACAGAAUUUUCUAUUUUUUAAAUACAUAAUAUAGGUAAUAUAAUAUAGUAGAAUUUUAUGUCUAAAAAUUUUCUAAAAGUAAC
RNAcentral lists this long non-coding RNA (2388 nucleotides) under Paramuricea clavata. The record is from RNAcentral. Lineage: Eukaryota; Metazoa; Cnidaria; Anthozoa; Malacalcyonacea; Plexauridae.